ACUUGGCUACACAUGUUUACAAAGAAAUACCUCAAGAAGCACUUGAAUUAAUGGACCCCAACUGUUAUGAAGUAAAAUGCAGAGAAUAUGUUGCACAAGUAAGAGAGCUUAAUGAAACUGAGCAGUAUAGAGAUGAAACCAAUUUGGACAGAGAUGCAGUCGCCAAGGUGUUUGGAGUUGAUGAUACAGGUUGUGUUCGAGGAAUGGGAGGUGGGAUAUCCAAGACUGAAC
Molecule: long non-coding RNA, 231 nt
Organism: Papaver somniferum (opium poppy)
Lineage: Eukaryota; Viridiplantae; Streptophyta; Magnoliopsida; Ranunculales; Papaveraceae
Exons: 3
Source: RefSeq, a predicted model, not a curated record